This 1974-nucleotide ribosomal RNA is filed under the name Marivita cryptomonadis. RNAcentral's name for it is "partial 23S ribosomal RNA". It matches the Rfam family "Bacterial large subunit ribosomal RNA", at positions 1 to 1998 of the family's 2925-position model. The record is from RNAcentral. Lineage: Bacteria; Pseudomonadati; Pseudomonadota; Alphaproteobacteria; Rhodobacterales; Roseobacteraceae.
AAUCAAGCGCGAGAAGGGCGUUUGGUGAAUGCCUAGGCAGUAAGAGGCGAUGAAGGACGUGAUACUCUGCGAUAAGCCAUGAGGAGCUGAGAAUAAGCUUUGAUCCAUGGAUUUCCGAAUGGGGCAACCCACCUGACAGUUUGAUAUAAUUGCCUUUGGGCAGCUUAUAUCUUGCUGAAACAGGUACUUAUUACCUGAAUACAUAGGGUUUUAAGAGCAAACCCGGGGAACUGAAACAUCUAAGUACCCGGAGGAAAGGACAUCAAUUGAUACUCCCCUAGUAGCGGCGAGCGAACGGGGACCAGCCGAGCCUUGAGCGUGACUAGAAUGUGCUGGAAAGCACAGCCAUAGCGGGUGACAGCCCCGUAUAGGAAGCGUGAUGGGACGUAUUAAGUAGGGCGGGACACGUGAAAUCCUGUCUGAAGAUCGGAGGACCACCUUCGAAGGCUAAGUACUCCUUACUGACCGAUAGUGAACCAGUACCGUGAGGGAAAGGUGAAAAGCACCCCGACGAGGGGAGUGAAACAGUACCUGAAACCGAACGCCUACAAUCAGUCGGAGCCCCCUUGCGGGGUGACGGCGUACCUUUUGUAUAAUGGGUCAUCGACUUGGUCUAUCUAGCAAGCUUAAGCCGUUAGGUGUAGGCGCAGCGAAAGCGAGUCUGAAUAGGGCGCAUGAGUUAGAUGGAUCAGACCCGAAACCGAGUGAUCUAGGCAUGGCCAGGUUGAAGGUUGGGUAACACCAACUGGAGGACCGAACCCACAUCCGUUGAAAAGGAUCGGGAUGAGCUGUGCCUAGGGGUGAAAGGCCAAUCAAACUCGGAGAUAGCUGGUUCUCUGCGAAAUCUAUUUAGGUAGAGCGUCAUCCGAAUACCCCCGGGGGUAGAGCACUGGAUGGGUAAUGGGGCCCCACAGGCUUACUGAUCCUAACCAAACUCCGAAUACCGGGGAGUACUAGAUGGCAGACACACAGCGGAUGCUAACGUCCGUUGUGGAGAGGGAAACAACCCUGACCUACAGCUAAGGCCCCCAAUUCAUGGCUAAGUGGGAAAGCAGGUGGGACGACCAAAACAACCAGGAGGUUGGCUUAGAAGCAGCCAUCCUUUAAAGAUAGCGUAACAGCUCACUGGUCUAAAUAAGUUGUCCUGCGGCGAAGAUGUAACGGGGCUCAAGCCAUGAGCCGAAGCUUAGGAUGCACAUAGUGCAUGGUAGCAGAGCGUAGUGUGACAUAGGACUACGUCUCUUCUAUUUUAGCGGACCGUUUGGGUCUGCUUGGGUGCUAACGCGCUCAAGUAGCCCUCCGGGCGGUAGCGCAAAAUAAUGGAGACGAAGUCUUUUCUGUGAAGCCGGCGUGUGAGCGAUCCGGUGGAGAGAUCACUAGUGAGAAUGAUGACAUGAGUAGCGACAAAGAGUGUGAGAGACACUCUCGCCGAAAGUCCAAGGGUUCCUGCUUAAAGCUAAUCUGAGCAGGGUAAGCCGGCCCCUAAGCCGAGGCCGAAAGGCGUAGGCGAUGGGAACCACGUUAAUAUUCGUGGGCCAGAUGGAAGUGACGGAUCUCGAAGAUUGUUCCUCCUUAUCGGAUUGGAGGGGCCGUUCAGAGGUUCCUGGAAAUAGCUCCAUCAUCAGACCGUACCCUAAACCGACACAGGUGGACUGGUAGAGAAUACCAAGGCGCUUGAGAGAACGAUGUUGAAGGAACUCGGCAAAAUACCUCCGUAAGUUCGCGAGAAGGAGGCCCGGUUCCUAGGCAACUAGGGGCUGGGGGCACAAACCAGGGGGUGGCGACUGUUUAUUAAAAACACAGGGCUCUGCGAAGUCGCAAGACGACGUAUAGGGUCUGACGCCUGCCCGGUGCCUGAAGGUUAAAAGGAGGGGUGAGAGCUCUGAAUUGAAGCCCAGGUAAACGGCGGCCGUAACUAUAACGGUCCUAAGGUAGCGAAAUUCCUUGUCGGGUAAGUUCCGACCUGCACGAAUG